Long non-coding RNA from Spodoptera litura, 704 nucleotides. RefSeq lists it as uncharacterized. Lineage: Eukaryota; Metazoa; Arthropoda; Insecta; Lepidoptera; Noctuidae. The record is from RefSeq and is a predicted model, not a curated record.
UGAGCCGCCGACCUUCGAGCUGAGCGUCACGUUCUUCAUGACGUCCUCAUCCAGCCCUGAGAUCCUAACUGAUUGAAAGAUGCACUUUCAAAUCUUCGCUCCGGCUCCACGACAACGUGGCAGGCGGAAUGAAUGAAGCUGAUCUUUCAAGCAGCAAGAGAUCUCCGCCUUCAUUCUUGCUGAAGGCAGUUCCAUCUUCGAAGGUCACUACACUUCCUGCCGAAUCACCACCUCUCCGGCAACGAUGCUUCGCAAGCUACAUCGUUAAAUCAACUUUUCCAGAUUACUUGUUCGAAAAUUAGUCAUCGGUGAAAGCUGAUUGGGCUUUGUAGUCAAUGUGAAAAUGGCGGUGGUCACUCAGACCAACUGUGUAACCCAUCAAAUCUGGCUUGAAGUUAGCAGGAGGAAUAUAACAACACUUGUUCAUAACAAGUGUUGUUAUAAACUUCAUGGCUAUUCAACGCCUGAUUUGAUUAAUUAUUUAUGACAUUUUCUCUAUACGGGAAAAUAUCAUAGGUGAUUCCUUUCUGGCUCAUACGAACGUUCCCAGAACGUAAUAAACUCCAUCUCCACCGAAUCCCUUGUCAACUACGACACGCCUGGGUAACGACUUAUAUUUGCUAUCACGCAAACGACAUGCAAUUAACUGCAGAAAUUACUAAAUAUCCGAAUAACACCUUUAUCCUCAAUGGAUGGAUCGGAUA